AAUCUUCCACAAUGGACGAAAGUCUGACGUAGCGAUGCCGCGUGCGUGAUGAAGGUCUUCGGAUCGUAAAACUCUGUUGUUAGGGAAGAACAAGUAUCGUAGUAAUAUGCCGGUACCUGGACGGUACCUAACCAGAAAGCCCCGGCUAACUACGUGCCAGCAGCCGCGGUAAUACGUAGGGGGCAAGCGUUGUCCGGAAUGAUUGGGCGUAAAGGGCACGCCGGCGGUUAUUUAAAUCUGAUGUGAAAUCUUGUGGCUUAAACACAAGCGGUUAUAGGAAACUGGAUAACUUGAGUACAGAAGAGGGGAGUGGAAUUCCACGUGUAGCGGUGAAAUGCGUAGAGAUGUGGAGGAACACCAGUGGCGAAGGCGGCUCUCUGGUAUGUAACUGAAGCUGAGGGGCGAAAGCGUGGGUAGCGAACA
RNAcentral lists this ribosomal RNA (423 nucleotides) under uncultured bacterium. Its description in RNAcentral is "partial 16S ribosomal RNA". It matches the Rfam family "Bacterial small subunit ribosomal RNA", at positions 360 to 774 of the family's 1533-position model. The record is from RNAcentral.